RNAcentral lists this ribosomal RNA (433 nucleotides) under uncultured bacterium. RNAcentral's name for it is "partial 16S ribosomal RNA". It matches the Rfam family "Bacterial small subunit ribosomal RNA", at positions 29 to 507 of the family's 1533-position model. The record is from RNAcentral.
AACGAACGCUGGCGGCAGGCCUAACACAUGCAAGUCGAGCGAGGACUUCGGUCCUAGCGGCGGACGGGUGAGUAACGCGUGGGAACGUGCCCUUUGCUUCGGAAUAGCCCUGGGAAACUGGGAGUAAUACCGGAUGAGCCCUUUGGGGGAAAGAUUUAUCGGCGAAGGAUCGGCCCGCGUUGGAUUAGGUAGUUGGUGGGGUAAUGGCCUACCAAGCCGACGAUCCAUGGCUGGUUUGAGAGGAUGAUCAGCCACACUGGGACUGAGACACGGCCCAGACUCCUACGGGAGGCAGCAGUGGGGAAUCUUAGACAAUGGGGGAAACCCUGAUCUAGCCAUGCCGCGUGAGCGAUGAAGGCCUUAGGGUUGUAAAGCUCUUUCAGCUGGGAAGAUAAUGACGGUACCAGCAGAAGAAGCCCCGGCUAACUCCGUG